CCCGACUGCUAUCAGAGUGAGAUUAAGCCAUGCGAGUCAACGUAGCAAUACGUGGCAUACGGCUCAGUAACACGUAGUCAACAUAACCAAAGGACGUGGAUAAACUCGGGAAACUGAGGCUAAACCGCGAUAGAUCAAGAUACCUGGAAUGGUUUUUGAUCAAAAUCUAUAUGGCCUUUGGAUUGGACUGCGUCCGAUCAGGCUGUUGGUGAGGUAAUGGCCCACCAAACCUAUAACCGGUACGGGCUCUGAGAGGAGGAGCCCGGAGAUGGGUACUGAGAUAAGGACCCAGGCCCUAUGGGGCGCAGCAGGCGCGAAACCUCUGCAAUAGGCGAAAGCUUGACAGGGUUACUCUGAGUGACUUUCGUUAAGAAAGUCUUUUGACACCUCUAAAAAUGGUGUAGAAUAAGGGGUGGGCAAGUCUGGUGUCAGCCGCCGCGGUAAUACCAGCACCCCGAGUGGUCGGGACGAUUAUUGGGCCUAAAGCAUCCGUAGCCGGCCUUACAAGUCCUCCGUUAAAUCCAGCUGCUUAACAGAUGGGCUGCGGAGGAUACUAUAAGACUAGGAGGCAGGAGAGGCAAGCGGUACUCAGUGGGUAGGGGUAAAAUCCGUUGAUCCAUUGAAGACCACCAGUGGCGAAGGCGGCUUGCCAGAAUGCGCUCGACGGUGAGGGAUGAAAGCUGGGGGAGCAAACCGGAUUAGAUACCCGGGUAGUCCCAGCUGUAAACGAUGCAGACUCGGUGAUGGACUAGCUUCAUGCUAGUCCAGUGCCGCAGGGAAGCCGUUAAGUCUGCCGCCUGGGUAGUACGGUCGCAAGACUGAAACUUAAAGAAAUUGGCGGGGGAGCACCACAAGAGGUGGGACCUGCGGUUC
Molecule: ribosomal RNA, 873 nt
Filed under: uncultured crenarchaeote
Lineage: Archaea; Thermoproteati; Thermoproteota
Description: bacterial SSU rRNA
Rfam family: Archaeal small subunit ribosomal RNA
Source: RNAcentral